RNAcentral lists this long non-coding RNA (925 nucleotides) under Apteryx owenii (little spotted kiwi). RNAcentral's name for it is "lncRNA (ENSAOWG00000008773.1)". Lineage: Eukaryota; Metazoa; Chordata; Aves; Apterygiformes; Apterygidae. The record is from RNAcentral.
CGCACAGCCACCGCCAGAGCCCCUUGGCCCCUUUUUCUGCCCCCCACCCCCCAAUAUCUCCUCUUGGCAUUAGCACUGCCCCAGCACCCGGUUGCAUCUCUAAUUUCUCAUGCAAGAGGCGGUUUUGCGAAAAUGGAGUUUGCUGCCUGCAUGGUCACUGAUUGCCCAAGGAAACCUCCUGCCUGUGUAAAGGUUACUCCAGUGCUAGAAACCCAGCGGAGUCUCCCGCAGUUAAUAUUGCACUUGCUGCGCAUCCACCUCCCCAGACGUGUCUGGGCGAUGGCCUGUGCAAAGGCCAUUUUGAAGAAGUAACACCAGCUUUUCAGAUAGCAGGAGUGUAUUUCCGAUUAAGCCAGGAGCCCCAAGUCCCACCUGUGGCAAGUGCUUGGGGGCCCCUUGGUCCGUGAGUCCCCAAACACGCGCCGGCACGGUGAAACUUCCAGUGCGUGACAAAUAAAGGCGGUUUGCGGCCCCAGCAGGCGUCUCUCUGCAAGCUCCCCUCUUACCUCGGCAUCGCAUCAGUGGGCGUCAGAAAAGCCCCCCGCUGAGGUCACACUUCGGGGCCAGGGUGGGGGGGGGGGGAAUGACACACAGCACGGUUAUGGCCACGCACUCCCCCCAGCCGCCGGGGCCAUGGGGGAGAGGGGAGGUGAGGGGCCAGGGGCGCGCCGGCGGGGAUAGAGACCCUUCCCUGCACUGGUGGCGCUGGUUUCUCCGAGGGGAACCGCAGUCCUGGGGACAGGGAUGGGCUGCCUGGCUGCCCCGGGGAAGGGCUGGGGGCCAGCUGUUCCCUGAGGGAGGAAUAAAGCCAACAGCAAAAGGAGGAUUUACUGGUCACUCUUGUGCUGUUCUGCUCCCAGGGACCUGGAAACUCGGCUUUUGCUGUGCCAGUUGCCCUGCGACUGAGUCAUCCAUAAGAAAGUAA